CGAGGAAAAGUUGGAAGUUGGUCAAAGUAUAAAUGUGAUUGUACCACAAAGGCAGUUUUAUUAUGAAACUGAAUGGAUUUUAUCGACUGAAACUCAUGCAAAAGUUUCAUGGGCAAAAGAAGAAGGUGUAACUUACCAGAUUGGAGCCUGUGUUAUUGUUGACAAAAAGGAUGAUAUCGUAUUUGGCAAGAUAAACAAUAUUUUUGUAGUACAACAUCAAGUCCUGUUAGAUGUCCAGCUAUUGACAGUAGAAUUCCAUCAACACAUCAAUUCAUAUAUU
Long non-coding RNA from Amphimedon queenslandica, 280 nucleotides. RefSeq lists it as uncharacterized. The record is from RefSeq and is a predicted model, not a curated record. NCBI's taxonomy places the organism in Eukaryota, Metazoa, Porifera, Demospongiae, Haplosclerida, Niphatidae. The transcript has 3 exons.